RNAcentral lists this ribosomal RNA (457 nucleotides) under uncultured bacterium. RNAcentral describes it as "SSU rRNA". It matches the Rfam family "Bacterial small subunit ribosomal RNA", at positions 26 to 518 of the family's 1533-position model. The record is from RNAcentral.
AGAACGAACGCUGGCGGCAUGCCUAACACAUGCAAGUCGAACGUGAUCCAGGCUUCGGCCUGGUGAAAGUGGCAGACGGGUGAGUAACGCGUGGGAACCUGCCCUGUGGUAGGGAAUAACCGUGGGAAACUGCGGCUAAUACCCUAUGAGUCCUUCGGGAGAAAGAUUUAUCGCCAUAGGAGGGGCCCGCGUCGGAUUAGGUAGUUGGUGGGGUAACGGCCUACCAAGCCUUCGAUCCGUAGCUGGUCUGAGAGGAUGAUCAGCCACACUGGGACUGAGAUACGGCCCAGACUCCUACGGGAGGCAGCAGUGGGGAAUAUUGGACAAUGGGGGCAACCCUGAUCCAGCAAUGCCGCGUGGAUGAUGAAGGCCUUCGGGUUGUAAAGUCCUUUCGGCGGGGAAGAUGAUGACGGUACCCGCGAGAAGAAGCCCCGGCUAACUUCGCGCCAGCAGCCGC